CCUACGGGAGGCAGCAGUGGGGAAUAUUGGACAAUGGGGGGAACCCUGAUCCAGCCAUGCCGCGUGUGUGAAGAAGGCCCUCGGGUUGUAAAGCACUUUCAGUGAGGAAGAACGCCUGGUGGUUAAUACCCAUCAGGAAAGACAUCACUCACAGAAGAAGCACCGGCUAACUUCGUGCCAGCAGCCGCGGUAAUACGGAGGGUGCGAGCGUUAAUCGGAAUUACUGGGCGUAAAGCGCGCGUAGGUGGCUUGAUAAGCCGGUUGUGAAAGCCCCGGGCUCAACCUGGGAACGGCAUCCGGAACUGUCAAGCUAGAGUGCAGGAGAGGAAGGUAGAAUUCCCGGUGUAGCGGUGAAAUGCGUAGAGAUCGGGAGGAAUACCAGUGGCGAAGGCGGCCUUCUGGACUGACACUGACACUGAGGUGCGAAAGCGUGGGUAGCAAACAGGAUUAGAUACCCCAGUAGUC
Molecule: ribosomal RNA, 465 nt
Filed under: Vreelandella stevensii
Lineage: Bacteria; Pseudomonadati; Pseudomonadota; Gammaproteobacteria; Oceanospirillales; Halomonadaceae
Description: partial 16S ribosomal RNA
Rfam family: Bacterial small subunit ribosomal RNA
Source: RNAcentral